RNAcentral lists this ribosomal RNA (497 nucleotides) under uncultured bacterium. RNAcentral's name for it is "partial 16S ribosomal RNA". It matches the Rfam family "Bacterial small subunit ribosomal RNA", at positions 28 to 507 of the family's 1533-position model. The record is from RNAcentral.
GAUGAACGCUGGCGGCGUGCCUAAUACAUGCAAGUCGAGCGAACAGACGAGGAGCUUGCUCCUCUGACGUUAGCGGCGGACGGGUGAGUAACACGUGGAUAACCUACCUAUAAGACUGGGAUAACUUCGGGAAACCGGAGCUAAUACCGUAUAACAUGUUGAACCGCAUGGUUCAACAGUGAAAGACGGUCUUGCUGUCACUUAUAGAUGGAUCCGCGCCGCAUUAGCUAGUUGGUAAGGUAACGGCUUACCAAGGCAACGAUGCGUAGCCGACCUGAGAGGGUGAUAGGCCACACUGGAACGGAAACACGGUCCAGACUCCUACGGGAGGCAGCAGUAGGGAAUCUUCCGCAAUGGGCGAAAUCCUGACGGAGCAACGCAGCGUGAGUGAAGAAGGUCUUCGGAUCGUAAAACUCUGUUAUUAGGGAAGAACAAAUGUGUAAGUAACUAUGCACGUCUUGACGGUACCUAAUCAGAAAGCCACGGCUAACUACGUG